RNAcentral lists this ribosomal RNA (301 nucleotides) under uncultured bacterium. Its description in RNAcentral is "partial 16S ribosomal RNA". It matches the Rfam family "Bacterial small subunit ribosomal RNA", at positions 509 to 808 of the family's 1533-position model. The record is from RNAcentral.
CAGCCGCCACGGUAAAACGUAGGUGGCGAGCGUUGUCCGGAACUAUUGGGCGUAAAGGGAGCGCAGGCGGGCGAGUAAGUCUUUCUUAAAAGUGCGGGGCUCAACCCCGUGAGGGGAGAGAAACUACUCAUCUUGAGUGCAGGAGAGGAAAGCGGAAUUCCUAGUGUAGCGGUGAAAUGCGUAGAUAUUGGGAGGAACACCGGCGGCGAAGGCGGCUUACUGGACGACAACUGACGUUGAGGCUCGAAGGCGUGGGUAGCAAACAGGAUUAGAUACCCGAGUAGUCCCUGUCUCUUAUACA